This 465-nucleotide ribosomal RNA is filed under the name uncultured bacterium. RNAcentral describes it as "bacterial SSU rRNA". It matches the Rfam family "Bacterial small subunit ribosomal RNA", at positions 338 to 795 of the family's 1533-position model. The record is from RNAcentral.
CCUACGGGAUGCACCAGUGGGGAAUAUUGCACAAUGGGCGCAAGCCUGAUGCAGCCAUGCCGCGUGUAUGGAGAAGGCCUUCGGGUUGUAAAGUACUUUCAGCGGGGAGGAAGGUGUCGUGGUUAAUAACCGCAGCAAUUGACGUUACCCGCAGAAGAAGCACCGGCUAACUCCGUGCCAGCAGCCGCGGUAAUACGGAGGGUGCAAGCGUUAAUCGGAAUUACUGGGCGUAAAGCGCACGCAGGCGGUCCGUCAAGUCGGAUGUGAAAUCCCCGGGCUCAACCUGGGAACUGCAUUCGAAACUGGCAGGCUAGAGUCUUGUAGAGGGGGGUAGAAUUCCAGGUGUAGCGGUGAAAUGCGUAGAGAUCUGGAGGAAUACCGGUGGCGAAGGCGGCCCCCUGGACAAAGACUGACGCUCAGGUGCGAAAGCGUGGGGAGCAAACAGGAUUAGAUACCCUAGUAAUC